GAUGAACGCUAGCGGCAGGCUCAACACAUGCAAGUCGAGGGGCAGCACGGGUAGCAAUACCUGGUGGCGACCGGCGGAAGGGUGCGUAACGCGUGAGCAACAUACCCUAUACAGGGGAAUAAGCCAGGGAAACUUGGUCUAAUGCCCCAUAGCAAUAGAAUAAGGCAUCUUAUUUUAUUUAAAGCUUCGGUGGUAUAGGAUUGGCUCGCGUGACAUUAGCUGGAUGGUGAGGUAACGGCUCACCAUGGCGAUGAUGUCUAGGGGUUCUGAGAGGAAGGCCCCCCACACUGGGACUGAGACACGGCCCAGACUCCUACGGGAGGCAGCAGUGAGGAAUAUUGGACAAUGGAUGGAAAUCUGAUCCAGCCAUGCCGCGUGCAGGAAGACGGCCCUAUGGGUUGUAAACUGCUUUUCUACGUGAGCAAUAAGGUCUACGAGUAGACUGAUGAGAGUAGCGUAGGAAUAAGCAUCGGCUAACUCCGUGCCAGCAGCCGCGGUAAUACGGAGGAUGCGAGCGUUAUCCGGAUUUAUUGGGUUUAAAGGGUGCGUAGGCGGCUUUUUAAGUCAGCGGUGAAAUUUUGCAGCUUAACUGUAACAGUGCCGUUGAUACUGAGGAGCUAGGAUUUGGUUGCUGUGGGUGGAAUGUGUGGUGUAGCGGUGAAAUGCUUAGAGAUCACACAGAAUAUCGAUUGCGAAGGCAGCUCACAAAGCCAAGAUUGACGCUGAGGCACGAAAGUGUGGGGAUCAAACAGGAUUAGAUACCCUGGUAGUCCACACUGUAAACGAUGAUAACUCGCUGUCGGCGAUACACAGUCGGUGGCCAAGCGAAAGCGAUAAGUUAUCCACCUGGGGAGUACGACCGCAAGGUUGAAACUCAAGGAAUUGACGGGGGCCCGCACA
Molecule: ribosomal RNA, 900 nt
Filed under: uncultured bacterium
Lineage: Bacteria
Description: bacterial SSU rRNA
Rfam family: Bacterial small subunit ribosomal RNA
Source: RNAcentral